CAAUGCCUUCUUCUGUUGUGUUUGAAGACAGCUACAGUGUACUCAUAUACAUUAAAUAAAUCUUUAUAAAAAAAUUAAGCUUUGGGGGCACAAGAACCUCUAAACUUAUUAAAACUAAUGCUGCCAAGUACUUAAGCUUUAACAGAUUUUUUGCUUUGAGAGUCUUGUUACUUAUGUAGGCAAAGUUAGUCUUGAACUUUGAUCUCCCUACCUCGCCUCUCACCAUGACUAGCUCAACUCAGAUUAUGUGACUACUAUACUACAAAACAUAUGGAUAUCAUGAUGGUCAUAUCAUACGUUAUCCACCACUCCAUGCAUCAAAGAGUGCAGAAAAAACAUGAGAAAAAAAAAAGACUUAAAAGAAGUUUAUAGCUUUCUACAAAGUUUAACCAAUGAAAGCUGAUCAUGGUGACACAGGCCUGUAAUUAUAAUCCUAGCACUUAGGCUGAAGCAACAAGGUCAUGAAUUCAACAUAAGCUCAAGUAAAAUAAAGACCUUGUCUUUUAAAAACUAAUUAUAUACAUAUUUUUAAAACAUGCAAGCUAAGUAUCAACUAGGUGACACUGGGUGGAUAAAUGUUCACUCACUUUGUGGUGCUGAGGAUGGAUCAACCUUGUACAUGCUCUGCCACUAAGCUAGACCCCUAGCUCUCUAGGAUUUAAAACAGUUUAAGUUUUUUCUUUUAAUUUAAUGUUCCUUUUUUGUGUGCUCUGAAAACCACAUGUCCCCUUGAGCUAUGACAGUUUCACUUAUUCUUUGUUUUUGACAAAGCUAAGAAGCCUAAGGAGUAUUAGCUAGACACUCUGUAUGUUUUCUCUUCAUCAGUCUGGGGCUAGGGGACCCUGGCAGAAUAACUACAUGGGCAGUGAGUGCCUUCCAUCACUUUUCACCUACUAUCCACAUGACCUACCACUCUCAAUGUUACCACUGACAGGUGCAUGAGGAGUGUGUGUCAUAGCUCUCUGGUGUACACUGUCUCCACUUUUUCUAUUCUACCCUCUUGACAAGCAUUGCACAGCCCACACUCAAGAGGUGCAAAGUCAUGUUCCCCGUCUGUGAGAAGCAUCUACAGAGGCUAACAGGCACAUUCUACACUGGAGCUACAGGGGAUUCUCUUAUAUAUAUAUACACACACAUACAUAUAAACACACACAUAUAUGUAUAUAUACAUAACACACAUAUAUACAUACAUGAGUAAAUUUUGUAAUGAUUUACUUAUUUUUAUUUUAUGUGCAUUGGUGUUUUGUCUGCAUGAGGAUUUUGGAUCUGCUGGAACUAGAGUUGUAGGCAGUUCUGAGUUGCCAUUUGGUGCUGUGAAUUGAACACUGACCCUCUAGAACAGCCAGAGCUCUUAACAGUGGAGCCAUCUCUCCAGCCCCUCUUCAGAGAUGGUAAUUAGAGACUUAUCAAUCCCUUUAGAAAAGUAAACAAAAUAAUACAUGACCUUGAAAAGAGAUAGUAUUUUUAGGCCCAGCCUGCAAGGUAGGCCUGGAGAAAAUAAAAGAAGAGACUCUUGUUCCCUCACCACCAUACACCAAUAAUAGAUCAGAGCAGUCUGCCCUCUUCUUGUUACAGAAUGGGCAAUUUUAGAAACACAUCUUAGAACCUGGGACAGCAGCUAGAGGAUCUUCUCUGCAGCACUUGCAGCUGGUCACUAGGAAAGCCUACUGCUAUGCUGCAAGCACUGAAGGCUAUGAAAUUAUACAACAGACACUAUUACCAGCUCAAUAAGUAAGUCAAUUUCUUUUACUAAGCCAACAGACUAUUAAUUGCAGUCUCUAAGACUUGGUGUUAUUUUUCCCAAUAGAGAUACACUCUUCCAUUUAUCAACUAGUUCUUCUCCAAUAGGUUAAGGACACGGAUGUUUUAAAGAUAAGAUCUUACUACCAGUUAAGCAGGCAUUUGUAAAUGGUGCCAAAAAAGCAUUAAGUUCCAGAACAACUAAUAGUGGUGCCUAGCCUAAUCCCUGGCACAUGGCCGUGCUCAGACAUUUGCUGAAUGAUGAACAAAUGAGUUCCAAGAAGCAGAGGGGACAAGCAGCUGUCUACACUGGUAUGCGGUGCUCAAAUGGUACCAGGCAAAUCUCUAAGGCCUGCCAUGCUAUUCCUAAUGUCUCUCUUCAGCAAAAGGGAACAUUUUCUCAAAUCCAGCAGGUAAACUACAGAAGUCUUGCAUAUUAGUAUCACUUAAUGUUAGAAAGAUGUUAGAACAGCAUUUUACUGGAUGGUCAAUAAACUUUUGUUUAGUUAAUUUAAAAUUCCCUUAAUAGUAGUUAAAGCAGAUUAGUACAAAGUCCAAGAAGAAACUUAAGAAAGUUAAGCCAAACAAAAGUUUUUGGAGUCAUAUAGUUGUAUACAUAUAUAGUUGUAUACAAAAGGAGAUUCUUUGCACAUGGAAACCAGAGCUCAAAGUUUUCUGAGUGGAAAGAAUGAAGAAACACAGGGCAUCAAGUCUGAGCAUCCAGGCAGAGUAUUAGUAAUACCACAUCUUUGGUGGACUGCUGAACACAAGAGCAGGACUUCUCUGACUCAUUUCAAUGUCACAACCCAGCACAGGAACAAGGCACAGUGUUCAUUGCUACAGCAGGGGUAGGUACUUUAGGACCUGAAAAUUAGAUUCUUUUAAAAUCUAACAUGUAUCAUCUCUUAAUGUGCAUAAAUUUUGAACAUUUGGAAAAGGUACAGUUUUCUAAAAUUUACCAAUAUCCACAAAAGCAUUCCUUUAAAAUUCUCACCCCAAAGCAAAUUAAUCGUGAAGACAAAAGACUGUUAAAGACAGCCCCUGCCUGUGUGAGGUGAUAUAGUUCUACUUAACUCUUAGCUCAACGACUACUUACGAGAAUAUGCUUGAACUAAGAACAAGAUACAUCUGGUUUCUCCUGCCCAAUUUUUCAGGUUUUUGAGAUUUCAAUUUUAUCUUUAUAGAUUUGCUGGGUUUGAUGUUUUAAUACUACUCAUUUUUGGUUAAAAAUAAAUAUCUAUAUUUAAAUUUAACCUGAAUGCACUAUUAAAAUUCAGAACUCUGAAGUAUUUGUUUCUAGGACACAUACUAUAUAGCAAAGUUAUGUCAAAUUCAUGACCACUUUAGUCUGUGGAUGGUUAUACCUAAAUGGUACUUAGAACAUUGGAGUCAUGGCUUAAAGGAGAGGAAAGAGAUCACUUUAGACUUAGGUUUAAGAGUUUAAUCCACACUAAAAGGCAUCGUUGGACUUGUAAAUGUACAUACAGUUCAAAGCACAUCAUUACCCAUAGGCAUUCCUACCAUACUCUCACUAAGCCCUACGACAAAGCGACUGAAGUGGACACUGAACUAAGAUUCUAAAUACCCUUCCAAAGACUCCCUUAUGCAAGCUUCUUACUGAGCUAUCUCACGGUCACUAUAUAAAUUCUACUCACCAUUUCUAUUCUCCAUUCAAGUGCUAUUUAUUAUUUUUUAAAUAAUUAAAAAAUAGUAACCCUAAAUAUAACUGUACAAAAAUCCCUACAAGCCAACAUCUGUGUAAUACAUUACUAUACAAAACAUUUUAACCAUCAAAAAAGAGUUGGAUUAUGAAGUAUUUUGGUAGCAGAGGGAUUUUUACAUCCCGCAGAUCUGCCUGAAGAUUGUCUUGCUACCAGCCAGGGCAAAUUUGUUGCCCCACCCCACCUCACCCCACCCCCGCCGCCCUUUUUCUCUUCAGGGCUUCUAAGUAUAGUGACAGCCGCGUGAGGUUUUCCUAGUCUCAGCACAAGCUCGGGGAGAAUCUGGGAAAUGUAAGUGGAAACAUGAGACACGGCUCUAUUUAGCAGUACUUAAAAAAAAAAUAGCAGGACAAAUGGCAAAGCAGUGUUGGGACCACAGGAAGAACAAUCAAUAGGCAGAAAGCAAGAUAGAAUCCUCCUCAGCUUUUAGAUCGACAAUCGACAGCUGAGAGACUAUUUUUUGCUAUGGCUGACUAAAUAUGGUCAGGGAAGAGAGAGGCACAAGAGAGUCUGUUUGCCUGGGAGUGCAUGUUUCAAAUGCUUAGCUGCCUAUAAAGCUCGAGCAGCCUAGGCUGUGGCCACUGAGUCGGGAAGAACAUAGGUUGGCUUCUGUGGUGACUAUGUGGGAGUCCUGACCUCGCUUGCAGACUUGACCUCUGGAUAUAACAAGGUAGCUUCACUCCAGAUCUACCACUAACCCUGGAAACUCAAACUCCUGCUCCUCCAAAAGAAUCCCAAAGCAAGAAAGAUGCAGAAUAUUUCCUGAGGCACCAGAAGAACCCAGUAUGGUCUGGUGGGCACAGGAAACUGGGUGAAUGCUUGCAGCUAAUUGGGAGAAUGUGAGGAUCUAGAAGCAAAUUAUAAAGAAGAGGGAGGCACGACGGAGAGAGCAGCAAGCGUGCUAACAUUUCUGAAUACACUUAAGACUCUGCUGACUGCAUCUCUUGGAAAAGAAGCAGCAGGGCAAAGCAUGGCAGUGCUUAAAAGAACCACAAGCAGAAGUGGCAUUGAUGGGAUCAGAGAAACUUUCCUCACAAGUGUCUAAGUGAAAAGAAACUGAAGGAGACAAAACCAGAGACCAAUAUCCACCCAAUUUUCGCAGUAACUACAAGAGAACUGCAAAUGGUUUGCGUUGCUUACUAAGCAUACAUCUCAGCAAUGGUGAAGGCCGGCAGGCAGGUGCCUGGGUAACCUGGGACGCCUGUUCAUCCAAAUAAAGCUGGCUUUCACUUCUUAA
This is a long non-coding RNA of Mus musculus (house mouse), 4698 nucleotides long. RefSeq annotates it as Mir133a-1, Mir1b and Mir1a-2 host gene. The record is from RefSeq and is a predicted model, not a curated record. The transcript has 3 exons. Lineage: Eukaryota; Metazoa; Chordata; Mammalia; Rodentia; Muridae.